This 78-nucleotide transfer RNA is filed under the name Streptomyces sp. CB02980. Its description in RNAcentral is "tRNA-Trp". It matches the Rfam family "tRNA". From Rfam's summary of the family: Transfer RNA (tRNA) molecules are approximately 80 nucleotides in length. RNAcentral also lists the same sequence under 8 other names. The record is from RNAcentral. Lineage: Bacteria; Bacillati; Actinomycetota; Actinomycetes; Kitasatosporales; Streptomycetaceae.
AGGGGCGUAGCUCAGCCCGGCCAGAGCAACGGACUCCAAACCCGUACGCCGCAGGUUCGAAUCCUGCCGCCCCUGCCA